This 768-nucleotide ribosomal RNA is filed under the name Staphylococcus aureus. Its description in RNAcentral is "partial 23S ribosomal RNA". It matches the Rfam family "Bacterial large subunit ribosomal RNA", at positions 793 to 1561 of the family's 2925-position model. The record is from RNAcentral. Lineage: Bacteria; Bacillati; Bacillota; Bacilli; Caryophanales; Staphylococcaceae.
AAAGUGAGCGGAUGAACUGAGGGUAGCGGAGAAAUUCCAAUCGAACCUGGAGAUAGCUGGUUCUCUCCGAAAUAGCUUUAGGGCUAGCCUCAAGUGAUGAUUAUUGGAGGUAGAGCACUGUUUGGACGAGGGGCCCCUCUCGGGUUACCGAAUUCAGACAAACUCCGAAUGCCAAUUAAUUUAACUUGGGAGUCAGAACAUGGGUGAUAAGGUCCGUGUUCGAAAGGGAAACAGCCCAGACCACCAGCUAAGGUCCCAAAAUAUAUGUUAAGUGGAAAAGGAUGUGGCGUUGCCCAGACAACUAGGAUGUUGGCUUAGAAGCAGCCAUCAUUUAAAGAGUGCGUAAUAGCUCACUAGUCGAGUGACACUGCGCCGAAAAUGUACCGGGGCUAAACAUAUUACCGAAGCUGUGGAUUGUCCUUUGGACAAUGGUAGGAGAGCGUUCUAAGGGCGUUGAAGCAUGAUCGUAAGGACAUGUGGAGCGCUUAGAAGUGAGAAUGCCGGUGUGAGUAGCGAAAGACGGGUGAGAAUCCCGUCCACCGAUUGACUAAGGUUUCCAGAGGAAGGCUCGUCCGCUCUGGGUUAGUCGGGUCCUAAGCUGAGGCCGACAGGCGUAGGCGAUGGAUAACAGGUUGAUAUUCCUGUACCACCUAUAAUCGUUUUAAUCGAUGGGGGGACGCAGUAGGAUAGGCGAAGCGUGCGAUUGGAUUGCACGUCUAAGCAGUAAGGCUGAGUAUUAGGCAAAUCCGGUACUCGUUAAGGCUGAGC